UUUGAUGGGCGAAAGCUGAUCAGUCAUACGCGUGUGUGAAGAAGGCCUGAGGGUUGUAAAGCACUUUCAAUAGGAAGGAAUACCUAUCGGUUAAUACCCGGUAGACUGACAUUACCUAUACAAGAAGCACCGGCUAACUCCGUGCCAGCAGCCGCGGUAAUACGGAGGGUGCAAGCGUUAAUCGGAAUUACUGGGCGUAAAGCGUGUGUAGGCGGUUAUCUAAGUCAGAUAUGAAAGCCCUGGGCUUAACCUGGGAACUGCAUUUGAUACUGGAUGACUAGAGUUGAGUAGAGGAGAGUGGAAUUUCAGGUGUAGCGGUGAAAUGCGUAGAGAUCUGAAGGAACACCAGUGGCGAAGGCGGCUCUCUGGACUCAAACUGACGCUGAGGUACGAAAGCGUGGGUAGCAAACAGGAUUAGAUACCCUGGUAGUCCACGCCGUAAACGAUGUCAACUAACCGUUGGGUUCUUUAAGAACUUAGUGGUGGAACUAACGUAUUAAGUUGACCGCCUGGGGAGUACGGCCGCAAGGCUAAAACUCAAAUGAAUUGACGGGGGCCCGCACAAGCGGUGGAGCAUGUGGUUUAAUUCGAUGCAACGCGAAGAACCUUACCUACCCUUGACAUGUAGCGAAUCCUUUAGAGAUAGAGGAGUGCCUCGGGAACGCUACACAGGUGCUGCAUGGGUGUCGUCAGCUCGUGUCGUGAGAU
Molecule: ribosomal RNA, 708 nt
Filed under: uncultured bacterium
Lineage: Bacteria
Description: bacterial SSU rRNA
Rfam family: Bacterial small subunit ribosomal RNA
Source: RNAcentral